Molecule: ribosomal RNA, 309 nt
Filed under: uncultured bacterium
Lineage: Bacteria
Description: bacterial SSU rRNA
Rfam family: Bacterial small subunit ribosomal RNA
Source: RNAcentral
GACGGACGCUGGCGGCGUGCCUAACACAUGCAAGUGGAGCGACGAACCAGGGCUUGCCCUGGGGCCAAGCCGCGAACGGGUGAGUAACACGUGGGUAACCUGCCCCGAUGACCGGGACAACCGACGGAAACUACGGGCGUAAUACCGGAUGUGGUGGACACACUUAAGUGUGUCCACUAAAGGAAGCUUCGGCCUCCGCAUUGGGAUGGGCCCGGCGGCCCACUUAGCUAGUUGGUGGGGUAAAGGCCUACCAAGGCAACGAUGGGUAGCUGGUCUGAGAGGACGAUCAGCCACACUGGGACUGAGACA